UACGAAGGGGGCUAGCGUUGCUCGGAAUCACUGGGCGUAAAGCGCACGUAGGCGGAUUGCUAAGUCAGGGGUGAAAUCCUGGAGCUCAACUCCAGAACUGCCUUUGAUACUGGCGAUCUUGAGUCCGGGAGAGGUGAGUGGAACUGCGAGUGUAGAGGUGAAAUUCGUAGAUAUUCGCAAGAACACCAGUGGCGAAGGCGGUUCUCUGGGCCUUACCUGACGCUGAGGAGCGAAAGCGUGGGGAG
RNAcentral lists this ribosomal RNA (245 nucleotides) under uncultured bacterium. RNAcentral's name for it is "partial 16S ribosomal RNA". It matches the Rfam family "Bacterial small subunit ribosomal RNA", at positions 524 to 768 of the family's 1533-position model. The record is from RNAcentral.